RNAcentral lists this long non-coding RNA (1803 nucleotides) under Homo sapiens (human). Its description in RNAcentral is "HSALNT0312172". Lineage: Eukaryota; Metazoa; Chordata; Mammalia; Primates; Hominidae. The record is from RNAcentral.
ACAGGUGCGCAGCCGCGGGGCGCAGUGGGGCUGCGCGCGGGCGCUCGCGGCCGGCUGGAGGUGCCCGGCGAUCGGCCCCGCUCGAGCGGGGGACACUCACCGAGCGGCUGGAGAGUCUUUUCCGGGAGCUCCGGCUGAACAUGGCCGGACGCCUCCUGCUCGCAGCGCCGUCCGUCGGCAAUACAGUUACUAAAGGAACUUGAAGAGAUCCUCAUACAUAAUUGUCAACACGGGAAGACGCCUUUGCUAUAAUGUAAGGUGGAAAAACAAAACCCGAAUAGACUGUCUGCCUGUAAUUGCUCCUAAAAUAUGCAUCAAGAAACUGGAAAGAAAUACACAACACGUUAAAAUGCCACUGUUUGCAGAAUACAUUCAAAAGUAUUAUAUUGGGACUCCAAGACUCACAGUGAGGUCAGAAAAGGAAACAAACACUCGCUGAAGCUGUGUGACUUCCCCGACACGUAUGCUGAGUGCUCCACCGGAUUGUCUGAAUCCGACCUGCAGACAAGAAAAGAGAAGGUAAAGAGUCAGUGAGGACUGGUGGACGUAUUUUCCCCAGAUUUCAUUGGCACAAGCUUGAGACAUGGCCUCCUUUACUGCAAGAGAACCGGAAAGCAUCAUCUAGCUUUGCGCCUAAGAAGAGGAGAAGCACGGACAUGCAUGAGCCCUUGGGCAUCCCUGUCCCAGUGGCCUUAUCAGAAUUGCAAUACUAUCUCACACUGCAUUCCUUGUAUUCCUAGGAGAACUGGCCAGGCUUCUAAAGAACAUAACCUUACUUUGGAUUAGGCCUCAGAGAUGUUAACUCUUGCUGUCGGUAAGGGUUGACUCAGAUGCAGAAACUCAGACAAUAGUUAACCACUUCACUUGAAAGAGAAAGCCUCAUAUGACAUUCAUCUCAUCAAUGGCAAAGUGUAUGAAAAAGUGAUUCUGUUUUUAUAUUCUAAAUCAGGAGUUGGCAAAUUUUUCUGUACAGGUUCGGAUAGGAGCUAUUUAAGGCUUUGUGGAUCAUACAGUCUUUAUCACAACAACUCAACUCCACAAUUGUAGUACAAAAGUGCCAUAGAUGAAGGAGAGUGACAGUGUUUCAAUAAAGCUUUGUUUACAAAAGCAGGCAGUAGGUCCAGUUUGGUCUAGCAUAGUUUGCUGGCUCCUGCUCUAAGUCUUCACCAGGUCCUCUUCACUUCCUAGCAGACUCACCUUUCUCUUCUUCCUGUCCCCUCCAAAAAAGAAUGGUAAAAAGAAGAAUGGAAAUGUUGGUAUAUGUAGAGAGCCAACAUUUUGCAGUGCUAAGCACUUUACUCAAGUUAAUUUAAUUCUCACAACACCUUGAGUAAGAUUUUUAUGGUUGCCCAUUUACAGAUGAGGAAGCUGACACACAGAGAAAUUAAGUCAUCAGGUUUAGCUCAUGAAGAGACUAAAAUUCUAAGUGUGAUGGCAUAAUUCACUAUAAGUCACUGGUGCAUGAAGCAGUAUUGUUUAAUAUCCCCCAACAUGGUAAUCAGGGAAGAACUUAGCCAUAGACAUUAUCAGAGGGAGGGAACUAGAGUAGGGCAUGGGGAAAAAAAAUACAUACCUGAGUUGGUAGUUGAUGGGAUUUGUUUGUGAACACCUAUGACACAUGUUAGGGGUGGGGAGAUGGCAAGAAGAAUGAGGAGCAAAUGUGUAAACCAUGUAGGGGUCUGUGGUCUUGCAAUGGCAGAUGGGGAAGUCAUUAUUGUGAUGAACACAAGGCUUAUUAAUGUGCAACAGUGCCCAAUUUUAACCCUUUCCUGUCAUUUUCAAUAAAGGGAAUUUUGUCUUUGA